GACGAACGCUGGCGGCGUGCCUAAUACAUGCAAGUCGAGCGCUGAAGGUUGGUGCUUGUUCCAACUGGAUGAGCAGCGAACGGGUGAGUAACGCGUGGGGAAUCUGCCUUUGAGCGGGGGACAACAUUUGGAAACGAAUGCUAAUACCGCAUAAAAACUUUAAACACAAGUUUUAAGUUUGAAAGAUGCAAUUGCUUCAAUCAAAGAUGAUCCCGCGUUGUAUUAGCUAGUUGGUGAGGUAAAGGCUCACCAAGGCGAUGAUACAUAGCCGACCUGAGAGGGUGACCGCCCCAAUGGGACCUGGAAACGGCUCAAGCCCCCUCGGGAGGGAGCAGUAGGGGAACCUCGGCCAAUGACGAAAGGCUGACCGGGCAACGCCGCGGGAGUGAAUAAGGUUUUCCGAUCGUAAAACCCCGUUGGUAGGGAAGAACGUUAGUGGGAGGGGAAAGCUCAUGAAGUGACGGUAACUACCCAGAAAGCGACGGCUAACUACGUG
This 496-nucleotide ribosomal RNA is filed under the name uncultured bacterium. RNAcentral's name for it is "partial 16S ribosomal RNA". It matches the Rfam family "Bacterial small subunit ribosomal RNA", at positions 28 to 507 of the family's 1533-position model. The record is from RNAcentral.